AAGUCGUAACAAGGUUUCCGUAGGUGAACCUGCGGAAGGAUCAUUAACGAGUUUUGAAGUGGGUUUGAUGCUGGUCUUCACAGGCAUGUGCUCGCCCUACUCUCAUCCACUCACACCUGUGCACCUAUAAAUGCUGGAAGUUAUUGUCCUUUGUUGGAGAGUGCUUCUUUGCGUUUAAUUUUCACAAACUCUUGAAUGUCAUAGAAUGUUCAUGGCCUACGGGCUUCAUAAAUGAAAUACAACUUUCAACAACGGAUCUCUUGGCUCUC
This 269-nucleotide unclassified non-coding RNA is filed under the name Peniophorella praetermissa. RNAcentral describes it as "partial internal transcribed spacer region". The stretch from base 1 to 46 matches the Rfam family "Eukaryotic small subunit ribosomal RNA", at positions 1786 to 1831 of the family's 1831-position model. The record is from RNAcentral. Lineage: Eukaryota; Fungi; Basidiomycota; Agaricomycetes; Hymenochaetales.